GGUUAAGUUAGAAAGGGCGCACGGUGGAUGCCUUGGCACUAGGAGCCGAUGAAGGACGGGACGAACACCGAUAUGCUUCGGGGAGCUGUAAGCAAGCUUUGAUCCGGAGAUUUCCGAAUGGGGAAACCCACCACUCGUAAUGGAGUGGUAUCCAUAUCUGAAUACAUAGGAUAUGAGAAGGCAGACCCGGGGAACUGAAACAUCUAAGUACCCGGAGGAAGAGAAAAGCAAAAUGCGAUUCCCUGAGUAGCGGCGAGCGAAACGGGACCAGCCCAAACCAAGAGGCUUGCCUCUUGGGGUUGUAGGACACUCUGUACGGAGUUACAAAGGAACGAGGUAGAUGAAGAGGUCUGGAAAGGCCCGCCAUAGGAGGUAACAGCCCUGUAGUCAAAACUUCGUUCUCUCCUGAGUGGAUCCUGAGUACGGCGGAACACGUGAAAUUCCGUCGGAAUCCGGGAGGACCAUCUCCCAAGGCUAAAUACUCCCUAGUGACCGAUAGUGAACCAGUACCGUGAGGGAAAGGUGAAAAAGCACCCCGGAAGGGGAGUGAAAGAGAUCCUGAAACCGUGUGCCUACAAGUAGUCAGAGCCCGUUAACGGGUGAUGGCGUGCCUUUUGUAGAAUGAACCGGCGAGUUACGAUCCCGUGCAAGGUUAAGCAGAAGAUGCGGAGCCGCAGCGAAAGCGAGUCUGAAUAGGGCGAAUUGAGUACGUGGUCGUAGACCCGAAACCAGGUGAUCUACCCAUGUCCAGGGUGAAGUUCAGGUAACACUGAAUGGAGGCCCGAACCCACGCACGUUGAAAAGUGCGGGGAUGAGGUGUGGGUAGGGGUGAAAUGCCAAUCGAACCUGGAGAUAGCUGGUUCUCUCCGAAAUAGCUUUUAGGGGCUAGCCUCAAGGUAAGAGUCUCGGAGGUAGAGCACUGAUUGGACUAGGGGCCCCUACCGGGUUACCGAAUUCAGUCAAACUCCGAAUGCCGAUGACUUAUCCUUGGGAGUCAGACUGCGAGUGAUAAGAUCCGUAGUCGAAAGGGAAACAGCCCAGACCGCCAGCUAAGGUCCCAAAGUAUACGUUAAGUGGAAAAGGAUGUGGAGUUGCUUAGACAACCAGGAUGUUGGCUUAGAAGCAGCCACCAUUUAAAGAGUGCGUAAUAGCUCACUGGUCGAGUGACUCUGCGCCGAAAAUGUACCGGGGCUAAACGUAUCACCGAAGCUGCGGACUGUUCUUCGAACAGUGGUAGGAGAGCGUUCUAAGGGCUGUGAAGCAAGACCGGAAGGACUUGUGGAGCGCUUAGAAGUGAGAAUGCCGGUAUGAGUAGCGAAAGAGGGGUGAGAAUCCCCUCCACCGAAUGCCUAAGGUUUCCUGAGGAAGGCUCGUCCGCUCAGGGUUAGUCGGGACCUAAGCCGAGGCCGAAAGGCGUAGGCGAUGGAUAACAGGUUGAUAUUCCUGUACCACCUCCUCACCAUUUGAGCAAUGGGGGGACGCAGGAGGAUAGGGUAAGCGCGGUAUUGGAUAUCCGCGUCCAAGCAGUUAGGCUGGGAAAUAGGCAAAUCCGUUUCCCGUGAAGGCUGAGCUGUGAUGGCGAGCGAAUUAUAGUAGCGAAGUUCCUGAUUCCACACUGCCAAGAAAAGCCUCUAGCGAGGUGAGAGGUGCCCGUACCGCAAACCGACACAGGUAGGCGAGGAGAGAAUCCUAAGGUGAUCGAGAGAACUCUCGUUAAGGAACUCGGCAAAAUGACCCCGUAACUUCGGGAGAAGGGGUGCUCUGUUAGGGUGCAAGCCCGAGAGAGCCGCAGUGAAUAGGCCCAGGCGACUGUUUAGCAAACACAGGUCUCUGCGAAGCCGUAAGGCGAAGUAUAGGGGCUGACGCCUGCCCGGUGCUGGAAGGUUAAGAGGAGCGCUUAGCGUAAGCGAAGGUGCGAAUUGAAGCCCCAGUAAACGGCGGCCGUAACUAUAACGGUCCUAAGGUAGCGAAAUUCCUUGUCGGGUAAGUUCCGACCCGCACGAAAGGCGCAACGAUCUGGGCACUGUCUCAACGAGAGACUCGGUGAAAUUAUAGUACCUGUGAAGAUGCAGGUUACCCGCGACAGGACGGAAAGACCCCGUGGAGCUUUACUGCAGCCUGAUAUUGAAUGUUGGUACAGCUUGUACAGGAUAGGUAGGAGCCUUGGAAACCGGAGCGCCAGCUUCGGUGGAGGCAUCGGUGGGAUACUACCCUGGCUGUAUUGACCUUCUAACCCGCCGCCCUUAUCGGGCGGGGAGACAGUGUCAGGUGGGCAGUUUGACUGGGGCGGUCGCCUCCUAAAAGGUAACGGAGGCGCCCAAAGGUUCCCUCAGAAUGGUUGGAAAUCAUUCGCAGAGUGUAAAGGCACAAGGGAGCUUGACUGCGAGACCUACAAGUCGAGCAGGGACGAAAGUCGGGCUUAGUGAUCCGGUGGUUCCGCAUGGAAGGGCCAUCGCUCAACGGAUAAAAGCUACCCCGGGGAUAACAGGCUUAUCUCCCCCAAGAGUCCACAUCGACGGGGAGGUUUGGCACCUCGAUGUCGGCUCAUCGCAUCCUGGGGCUGUAGUCGGUCCCAAGGGUUGGGCUGUUCGCCCAUUAAAGCGGUACGCGAGCUGGGUUCAGAACGUCGUGAGACAGUUCGGUCCCUAUCCGUCGCGGGCGCAGGAAAUUUGAGAGGAGCUGUCCUUAGUACGAGAGGACCGGGAUGGACGCACCGCUGGUGUACCAGUUGUUCUGCCAAGGGCAUCGCUGGGUAGCUAUGUGCGGACGGGAUAAGUGCUGAAAGCAUCUAAGCAUGAAGCCCCCCUCAAGAUGAGAUUUCCCAUUCCGCAAGGAAGUAAGAUCCCUGAAAGAUGAUCAGGUUGAUAGGUCUGAGGUGGAAGUGUGGCGACACAUGGAGCUGACAGAUACUAAUCGAUCGAGGACUUAACCAA
This 2933-nucleotide ribosomal RNA is filed under the name Bacillus velezensis. RNAcentral's name for it is "23S ribosomal RNA". It matches the Rfam family "Bacterial large subunit ribosomal RNA". Lineage: Bacteria; Bacillati; Bacillota; Bacilli; Caryophanales; Bacillaceae. The record is from RNAcentral.